AUAUCGAGGAUGUAGUGAAAACAGAAGUUAUUGAGGAAGCCUUUGCAGGCAUGUUUAUGGACACACCUGAGGAUGAGAGAACAAAACUUAUCAGUUGUCUAGGUGCCUUUCGUCAGUAUUGGAACACUCUUCCUCCGG
This is a non-coding RNA of Salvelinus sp. IW2-2015, 138 nucleotides long. The record is from RefSeq and is a predicted model, not a curated record. NCBI's taxonomy places the organism in Eukaryota, Metazoa, Chordata, Actinopteri, Salmoniformes, Salmonidae.